Molecule: small nuclear RNA, 132 nt
Organism: Hevea brasiliensis (rubber tree)
Lineage: Eukaryota; Viridiplantae; Streptophyta; Magnoliopsida; Malpighiales; Euphorbiaceae
Source: RefSeq, a predicted model, not a curated record
GUGUUUGUAGAAAGAGGAGAUGUUUGGCAUCUCCUUUGACAGGGAUCGGCACAGCCUGCUUGUUUACCUAUUACCAACACAACCGGUUAAAGGUACCCACCUCUUAGGUGGAUCUCUAAACCAAAAUUUUAG